Molecule: ribosomal RNA, 546 nt
Filed under: uncultured bacterium
Lineage: Bacteria
Description: bacterial SSU rRNA
Rfam family: Bacterial small subunit ribosomal RNA
Source: RNAcentral
UAGGGAAUCUUCGGCAAUGGGGGCAACCCUGACCGAGCAACGCCGCGUGAGUGAAGAAGGUUUUCGGACCGUAAAGCUCUGUUGUAAGUCAAGAACGAGUGUGAGAGUGGAAAGUUCACACUGUGACGGUAGCUUACCAGAAAGGGACGGCUAACUACGUGCCAGCAGCCGCGGUAAUACGUAGGUCCCGAGCGCUGUCCGGAUUUAUUGGGCGUAAAGCGAGCGCAGGCGGUUUGAUAAGUCUGAAGUUAAAGGCUGUGGCUCAACCAUAGUUCGCUUUGGAAACUGUCAAACUUGAGUGCAGAAGGGGAGAGUGGAAUUCCAUGUGUAGCGGUGAAAUGCGUAGAUAUAUGGAGGAACACCGGUGGCGAAAGCGGCUCUCUGGUCUGUAACUGACGCUGAGGCUCGAAAGCGUGGGGAGCGAACAGGAUUAGAUACCCUGGUAGUCCACGCCGUAACGAUGAGUGCUAGGUGUUGUCCUUUCCGGGAUUCAGUGCCGCAGCUAACGCAUUAAGCACUCCGCCUGGGGAGUACGACCGCAAGGUU